This 1042-nucleotide ribosomal RNA is filed under the name Acinetobacter sp. M.pstv.10.1. RNAcentral's name for it is "bacterial SSU rRNA". It matches the Rfam family "Bacterial small subunit ribosomal RNA", at positions 42 to 1075 of the family's 1533-position model. The record is from RNAcentral. Lineage: Bacteria; Pseudomonadati; Pseudomonadota; Gammaproteobacteria; Moraxellales; Moraxellaceae.
GCAGGCUUAACACAUGCAAGUCGAGCGGAGAGAGGUAGCUUGCUACUGAUCUUAGCGGCGGACGGGUGAGUAAUGCUUAGGAAUCUGCCUAUUAGUGGGGGACAACAUUUCGAAAGGAAUGCUAAUACCGCAUACGUCCUACGGGAGAAAGCAGGGGAUCUUCGGACCUUGCGCUAAUAGAUGAGCCUAAGUCGGAUUAGCUAGUUGGUGGGGUAAAGGCCUACCAAGGCGACGAUCUGUAGCGGGUCUGAGAGGAUGAUCCGCCACACUGGGACUGAGACACGGCCCAGACUCCUACGGGAGGCAGCAGUGGGGAAUAUUGGACAAUGGGCGCAAGCCUGAUCCAGCCAUGCCGCGUGUGUGAAGAAGGCCUUAUGGUUGUAAAGCACUUUAAGCGAGGAGGAGGCUACUUUAGUUAAUACCUAGAGAUAGUGGACGUUACUCGCAGAAUAAGCACCGGCUAACUCUGUGCCAGCAGCCGCGGUAAUACAGAGGGUGCAAGCGUUAAUCGGAUUUACUGGGCGUAAAGCGCGCGUAGGCGGCUAAUUAAGUCAAAUGUGAAAUCCCCGAGCUUAACUUGGGAAUUGCAUUCGAUACUGGUUAGCUAGAGUGUGGGAGAGGAUGGUAGAAUUCCAGGUGUAGCGGUGAAAUGCGUAGAGAUCUGGAGGAAUACCGAUGGCGAAGGCAGCCAUCUGGCCUAACACUGACGCUGAGGUGCGAAAGCAUGGGGAGCAAACAGGAUUAGAUACCCUGGUAGUCCAUGCCGUAAACGAUGUCUACUAGCCGUUGGGGCCUUUGAGGCUUUAGUGGCGCAGCUAACGCGAUAAGUAGACCGCCUGGGGAGUACGGUCGCAAGACUAAAACUCAAAUGAAUUGACGGGGGCCCGCACAAGCGGUGGAGCAUGUGGUUUAAUUCGAUGCAACGCGAAGAACCCUUACCUGGGCCUUGACAUAGUAAGAACUUUCCAGAGAUGGAUUGGUGCCUUCGGGAACUUACAUACAGGUGCUGCAUGGCUGUCGUCAGCCUCGUGUCGUGAGAUGU